AGCAGCAGCCGCGGGAAAACGAAGGGUGCAAGCGUUACUCGGAAUUACUGGGCGUAAAGCGUGCGUAGGUGGUGGUUUAAGUCCGUUGUGAAAGCCCUGGGCUCAACCUGGGAAUUGCAGUGGAUACUGGGUCACUAGAGUGUGGUAGAGGAUAGUGGAAUUUCCGGUGUAGCAGUGAAAUGCGUAGAGAUCGGAAGGAACAUCUGUGGCGAAGGCGACUAUCUGGGCCAACACUGACACUGAGGCACGAAAGCGUGGGGAGCAAACAGGAUUAGAUACCCCCGUAGUCCCUGUCUCUUAUAC
RNAcentral lists this ribosomal RNA (303 nucleotides) under uncultured bacterium. RNAcentral describes it as "partial 16S ribosomal RNA". It matches the Rfam family "Bacterial small subunit ribosomal RNA", at positions 507 to 807 of the family's 1533-position model. The record is from RNAcentral.